AAUCCAUGGUGCUGGCAUUUUUUAAUCAACAUUUUGAAGCGUUCCAACACCUCAUAAAAACUUUCUGUUCUAUCUGUCUAAGGAAAAUGAUCUCUCUUCUUAGUUG
Molecule: small nucleolar RNA, 106 nt
Filed under: Gossypium hirsutum (cotton)
Lineage: Eukaryota; Viridiplantae; Streptophyta; Magnoliopsida; Malvales; Malvaceae
Description: Plant small nucleolar RNA R71
Rfam family: Plant small nucleolar RNA R71
About the family: R71 is a member of the C/D box family of snoRNAs containing the C (UGAUGA) and D (CUGA) box motifs. Multiple nearly identical copies of this snoRNA have been identified in Arabidopsis, and it is thought to function as a 2'-O-ribose methylation guide for 18S ribosomal RNA.
Source: Rfam by way of RNAcentral